UGGGAUGUAGUUCAGUGGUAGAGCACCUGCAUAACAUGCACAAGUUCCUGGGUUCUAUCCCCAGCAUCACAA
RNAcentral lists this transfer RNA (72 nucleotides) under Marmota marmota marmota (Alpine marmot). It matches the Rfam family "tRNA". Rfam says of the family: Transfer RNA (tRNA) molecules are approximately 80 nucleotides in length. Their secondary structure includes four short double-helical elements and three loops (D, anti-codon, and T loops). RNAcentral also lists the same sequence under 2 other names. Lineage: Eukaryota; Metazoa; Chordata; Mammalia; Rodentia; Sciuridae. The record is from Rfam by way of RNAcentral.